CCCAAUACUGCUUUAUCUCUUCGCAUUCCUUCCGCUAGCCCCUGCUUCCAAAUCCUUCAUAUCUCCGUCAUGGCUCAGACGGCAAAUCGAUCCAAAUUGCGGUGGGGAGAGCUAGAUGACGACGACGGCGAUCUGGAUUUUCUUCUACCGCCCAAGAAAAUUAUCGGUCCAGACGAGAACGGCUUGAAGAAAAUUAUUGAAUAUCAGUUCAACGAAGAUGGUAAUAAGGUCAAGAUCACAACCACCACGCGUACUCGCAAGCUCGCCCAUGCUCGCCUCAGUAAACACGCCGUUGAGCGCCGAUCUUGGGCAAAGUUCGGCGACGCUGUGCACGAAGACGUCGGCAGCCGCCUCACCAUGGUCUCCACUGAGGAGAUCCUCCUGGAACGCCCUCGUGCUCCUGGUAGCAAACCAGAAGAGCCAAAGGUUGCAGGAGACCCUCUAGCUCAACUUGGAAAAGGUGGUGCUGUUCUUAUGGUGUGUCGUACUUGUGGCAAAAAGGG
This 503-nucleotide unclassified non-coding RNA is filed under the name Hevea brasiliensis (rubber tree). Lineage: Eukaryota; Viridiplantae; Streptophyta; Magnoliopsida; Malpighiales; Euphorbiaceae. The record is from RNAcentral.